This 73-nucleotide transfer RNA is filed under the name Candidatus Phytoplasma pruni. It matches the Rfam family "tRNA". From Rfam's summary of the family: Transfer RNA (tRNA) molecules are approximately 80 nucleotides in length. Lineage: Bacteria; Bacillati; Mycoplasmatota; Mollicutes; Acholeplasmatales; Acholeplasmataceae. The record is from Rfam by way of RNAcentral.
GCCUAUGUAGCUCAGUUGGUAGAGCAUCUGACUGUUAAUCAGGAGGUCCUAGGUUCGAGCCCUAGCGUAGGCG